AGUGAACGCUGGCGGUAGGCCUAACACAUGCAAGUCGAACGGCAGCACAGUAAGAGCUUGCUCUUACGGGUGGCGAGUGGCGGACGGGUGAGGACUACAUCGGAAUCUACUUUUUCGUGGGGGAUAACGUAGGGAAACUUACGCUAAUACCGCAUACGACCUACGGGUGAAAGCAGGGGAUCUUCGGACCUUGCGCGAUUGAAUGAGCCGAUGUCGGAUUAGCUAGUUGGCGGGGUAAAGGCCCACCAAGGCGACGAUCCGUAGCUGGUCUGAGAGGAUGAUCAGCCACACUGGAACUGAGACACGGUCCAGACUCCUACGGGAGGCAGCAGUGGGGAAUAUUGGACAAUGGGCGCAAGCCUGAUCCAGCCAUACCGCGUGUGUGAAGAAGGCCUUCGGGUUGUAAAGCCCUUUUGUUGGGAAAGAAAAGCAGCAGGUUAAUACCCCGCUGUGCUGACGGUACCCAAAGAAUAAGCACCGGCUAACUUCGUG
Molecule: ribosomal RNA, 492 nt
Filed under: uncultured bacterium
Lineage: Bacteria
Description: partial 16S ribosomal RNA
Rfam family: Bacterial small subunit ribosomal RNA
Source: RNAcentral